This 311-nucleotide long non-coding RNA is filed under the name Anser brachyrhynchus (Pink-footed goose). RNAcentral's name for it is "lncRNA (ENSABRG00000017263.1)". Lineage: Eukaryota; Metazoa; Chordata; Aves; Anseriformes; Anatidae. The record is from RNAcentral.
AAAAUAGAGGCAGAAGUGUUCUGUAUUUUACAGAUACUUUAUUAGGCUGAUUGCAAUUCAUUUAGAAAGACUUUUGAGAUGCAAAGCAACAGGAGGACAUUUGUCUUUAAGGGUGUCUGUUUAACGUUUUUUUUUUUUUUUGGUGAAAAUCAGCUCAUCUGGCAUUAUUUUAAGGAAAACUUUGUGAGAAGAGCUUAUGAUGAGAAAACGCUACCAUGCAGUGGCCAUUUAAGACUGACCUUCUGUACAUCAGUUGGCAGUUCACUUGUAUCAAGUUCCUUUCACUUGUGAGGGCUUUGUGUGGAAUGAGC